AGUGAACGCUGGCGGUAGGCCUAACACAUGCAAGUCGAACGGCAGCACAGUAAGGGCUUGCUCUUACGGGUGGCGAGUGGCGGACGGGUGCGGAAUACAUCGGAAUCUACUUUUUCGUGGGGGGUAACGUAGGGAAACUUACGCUAAUACCGCAUACGACCUACGGGUGAACGCAGGGGAUCUUCGGACCUUGCGCGAUUGGAUGAGCCGAUGUCGGAUUAGCUAGUUGGCGGGGUAAAGGCCCACCAAGGCGACGAUCCGUAGCUGGUCUGAGAGGAUGACCAGCCACACUGGAACUGAGACACGGUCCAGACUCCUACGGGAGGCAGCAGUGGGGAAUAUUGGACAAUGGGCGCAAGCCUGAUCCAGCCAUACCGCGUGCGUGAAGAAGGCCUUCGGGUUGUAAAGCCCUUUUGUUGGGAAAGAAAAGCAGCUGGUUAAUACCCCGCUGUGCUGACGGUACCGAAAGAAUAAGCACCGGCUAACUUCGUG
This 492-nucleotide ribosomal RNA is filed under the name uncultured bacterium. RNAcentral describes it as "partial 16S ribosomal RNA". It matches the Rfam family "Bacterial small subunit ribosomal RNA", at positions 29 to 507 of the family's 1533-position model. The record is from RNAcentral.